UGAAUACGAGACGCUACGGCGUCGAAGCAGUCUAUGUCAUACUUCCAAGAAAAGCUUGCAAUGUCAUAAACAAAUAAUGCCUGUACCAUAACCGACACAGGUGGGUGGGUAGAGUAUACUAAGGGGCGCGAGAUAACUCUCUCUAAGGAACUCGGCAAAAUGACUCCGUAACUUCGGGAGAAGGAGUGCCUUAUUUAUAAGGUUGCAAUAACAAGAUCCAAGCAACUGUUUAUCAAAAACACAGGUCUCCGCUAAGUCGUAAGACGAUGUAUGGGGGCUGACGCCUGCCCAGUGCCAGAAGGUUAAAGAAGUUGGUUAGCAUUCGCGAAGCUGAUAACUGAAGCCCUGGUGAACGGCGGCCGUAACGAUAACGGUCCUAAGGUAGCGAAAUUCCUUGUCGGGUAAGUUCCGACCCGCACGAAAGGCGUAAUGAUUUGGAUACUGUCUCGGAGAGGGGCUCGGUGAAAUAGACUUGUCUGUGAAGAUGCGGACUACCUGCACCUGGACAGAAAGACCCUAUGAAGCUUUACUGUAACUUGAAAUUGAAAUUGGACUUUAUUUGCGCAGCAUAGGUGGGAGGCGUUGAGAGUAUUCUUGCGGGAAUAUUGGAGCCAUCAGUGAGAUACCACUCUUGUAAUGUUAGAUUUCUAACUUUGGAUCAUUAUCUGGUCAAAGAACAGUUUCAGGCGGGCAGUUUGACUGGGGCGGUCGCCUCCCAAAUGGUAACGGAGGCGUACAAAGGUUUCCUCUGAACGGGUAGAAAUCGUACCUAGAGUGUAAAGGCAUAAGGAAGCUUGACUGUGAGACCUACAAGUCGAGCAGGGACGAAAGUCGGUCUUAGUGAUCUGACGGUGCUGAGUGGAAAGGCCGUCACUCAACGGAUAAAAGUUACUCUAAGGAUAACAGGCUGAUCUCCCCCAAGAGUUCACAUCGACGGGGAGGUUUGGCACCUCGAUGUCGGCUCAUCGCAUCCUGGGGCGGUAGUACGUCCCAAGGGUUGGGCUGUUCGCCCAUGAAAGCGGUACGCGAGCUGGGUUCAGAACGUCGUGAGACAGUUCGGUCCAUAUCCGGUGUAGGCGUUAGAAUAUUGAGAGGAGCCCUCUUUAGUACGAGAGGACCGAGAAGGACAUACCUCUGGUGUACCAGUUAUCGUGCCAACGGUAAACGCUGGGUAGCUAUGUAUGGAGAGGAUAACCGCUGAAAGCAUCUAAGUGGGAAGCCCACCUCAAGAUAAG
RNAcentral lists this ribosomal RNA (1235 nucleotides) under metagenome. RNAcentral's name for it is "bacterial LSU rRNA". It matches the Rfam family "Bacterial large subunit ribosomal RNA", at positions 1564 to 2808 of the family's 2925-position model. The record is from RNAcentral.